GAAAACUACGAGCAUAAGCUUAAAAAUCAAAGGAUUUGGCGGCGCUUUAGACCUCCUAGAGGAGCUUGUCCUAUUAUCGACACUCCUCGCUCAACCUUACCUUCUUUAGCCUUCAGCCUAUAUACCGCCGUCAUAAGUUCACCCUUCGAAGGUUUUGUAAUGGACAAAAAUCGGUCAAUACCCCUAAAGUCAGGUCAAGGUAUAGCAUACGAGAAGUGAAGAGAUGAGCUACACUUCCUACACAGGACUUACGGAAGAUUUUUUGAAAUAAAAAUCAAAGUAGAAUUUAGCAGUAAGUAAAAAAUAGAGUGUUUUACUGAAAUUGAACCUAAACCGCGUACACACCGCCCGUCGCUCUCUCCUAAUCUUUAUCCAAACAUUAAUAAACCUACAUAUUCCUCAAGGAGAGGAAAGUCGUAACAUGGUAAGCGUACUGGAAAGUGCGCUUGAUUAAU
This 455-nucleotide ribosomal RNA is filed under the name Gnatholebias zonatus. Its description in RNAcentral is "partial 12S ribosomal RNA". It matches the Rfam family "Bacterial small subunit ribosomal RNA", at positions 875 to 1533 of the family's 1533-position model. Lineage: Eukaryota; Metazoa; Chordata; Actinopteri; Cyprinodontiformes; Rivulidae. The record is from RNAcentral.